ACACAUGCAGUCGAACGAUGAACCUCACUUGUGGGGGGAUUAGUGGCGAACGGGUGAGUAACACGUGAGUAACCUGCCCUUGACUCUGGGAUAAGCCUGGGAAACCGGGUCUAAUACUGGAUACGACCUUCUGGCGCAUGCCAUGUUGGUGGAAAGCUUUUGUGGUUUUGGAUGGACUCGCGGCCUAUCAGCUUGUUGGUGGGGUAAUGGCCUACCAAGGCGACGACGGGUAGCCGGCCUGAGAGGGUGACCGGCCACACUGGGACUGAGACACGGCCCAGACUCCUACGGGAGGCAGCAGUGGGGAAUAUUGCACAAUGGGCGCAAGCCUGAUGCAGCGACSCCGCGKGAGGGAUGAAGGCCUUCGGGUUGUAAACCUCUUUCAGUAGGGAAGAAGCRAAAGUGACGGUACCUGCRGAARAAGCSCCGGCWAACUACGKGCCAGCRGCCGCGGWAAUACGUAGGGCGCAAGCKUWAUCCGGAAUUAUUGGGSCGUAAAGAGCUCGUAGGCGGUUUGUCGCGUCUGCCGUGAAAGYCCGGGGCUUAACYUCCGGAUCUKCGGKGGGKUACGGGCGGACUAGAGUGCRGUAGGGGGAGACUGGAAUUCCCUGGKGUAGCGGGUGAAAUGCGC
This 631-nucleotide ribosomal RNA is filed under the name Arthrobacter sp. Its description in RNAcentral is "partial 16S ribosomal RNA". The record is from RNAcentral. Lineage: Bacteria; Bacillati; Actinomycetota; Actinomycetes; Micrococcales; Micrococcaceae.